UACGAAGGGAGCUAGCGUUGUUCGGAAUCACUGGGCGUAAAGCGCACGUAGGCGGAUGUGUCAGUCAGGGGUGAAAUCCCGGAGCUCAACUUCGGAACUGCCUUUGAUACAGCACGUCUUGAGUCCGAUAGAGGUGGGUGGAAUUCCUAGUGUAGAGGUGAAAUUCGUAGAUAUUAGGAAGAACACCGGUGGCGAAGGCGGCCCACUGGAUCGGUACUGACGCUGAUGCGCGAAAGCUAGGGGAGCAAACGGG
This 253-nucleotide ribosomal RNA is filed under the name uncultured bacterium. RNAcentral's name for it is "partial 16S ribosomal RNA". It matches the Rfam family "Bacterial small subunit ribosomal RNA", at positions 524 to 776 of the family's 1533-position model. The record is from RNAcentral.